RNAcentral lists this long non-coding RNA (353 nucleotides) under Gallus gallus (chicken). RNAcentral describes it as "lncRNA (ENSGALG00010025776.1)". Lineage: Eukaryota; Metazoa; Chordata; Aves; Galliformes; Phasianidae. The record is from RNAcentral.
CCCGGCACGUCCCAGCUCUGUGGGGUGAGCUUUGUUCUGGUCUCGCAGCGCUGAAGACACUCGCCUACUGCUCUCCAGGAGGACGGAGCGGCUGUAAUGGGAACGGACAGGAGAAGCCGUAGGGAGGAUGACGGCAACGACGGAUGUUAAUGAAGAGCAGCCUGCAGAGGAAAAAAGAAAGGAUGUGGGGAGAGGGGUGCCCUCCGGCUGAGGAGGGGACCCCGUGCGUGGAGGUUCAGCUGCCUGCAGCUCUUCUCCCCGACUUGCUUUCCCGUGCUGUGGAGGAAGGGCACGUCUCCGCAGCUGACAUCUCCCUUGGGCCUGCGCUUGCACCGAGCCGCUGCCAGAACGGG